UACGAGGGGGGCGAGCGUUGUUCGGAAUUAUUGGGCGUAAAGAGCUCGUAGGUGGCCUGUCGCGUCGGCUGUGAAAACUCGGGGCUCAACUCCGAGCUUGCAGUCGAUACGGGCAGGCUAGAGUUCGGCAGGGGAGACUGGAAUUCCUGGUGUAGCGGUGAAAUGCGCAGAUAUCAGGAGGAACACCGGUGGCGAAGGCGGGUCUCUGGGCCGAUACUGACACUGAGGAGCGAAAGCGUGGGGAGCGAACAGG
RNAcentral lists this ribosomal RNA (253 nucleotides) under uncultured bacterium. Its description in RNAcentral is "partial 16S ribosomal RNA". It matches the Rfam family "Bacterial small subunit ribosomal RNA", at positions 524 to 776 of the family's 1533-position model. The record is from RNAcentral.